UACGUAGGGACCAAGCGUUGUUCGGAUUUACUGGGCGUAAAGGGCGCGUAGGCGGCGUGACAAGUCACUUGUGAAAUCUCUGAGCUUAACUCAGAACGGCCAAGUGAAACUGUUGUGCUAGAGUGCGGAAGGGGCAAUCGGAAUUCUUGGUGUAGCGGUGAAAUGCGUAGAUAUCAAGAGGAACACCUGAGGUGAAGACGGGUUGCUGGGCCGACACUGACGCUGAUGCGCGAAAGCCCAGGGGAGCAAACGGG
RNAcentral lists this ribosomal RNA (254 nucleotides) under uncultured bacterium. Its description in RNAcentral is "partial 16S ribosomal RNA". It matches the Rfam family "Bacterial small subunit ribosomal RNA", at positions 524 to 776 of the family's 1533-position model. The record is from RNAcentral.